This 465-nucleotide ribosomal RNA is filed under the name uncultured bacterium. RNAcentral's name for it is "partial 16S ribosomal RNA". It matches the Rfam family "Bacterial small subunit ribosomal RNA", at positions 28 to 507 of the family's 1533-position model. The record is from RNAcentral.
GACGAACGCUGGCGGCGUGCUUAACACAUGCAAGUCGAACGGAAAGGCCCUGCUUGUGGGGUAUACUAGUGGGGAACGGGUGUGUAUCACGUGGGUGAUCUGUCCUGUUCUUUGGGGUAUGACUGGAAAACUGGGUGUAUAAUCGGAUAUAGGAGCUCCUUCUUCAUGGGGUGGGAAAGAUUUUUUGGUGUGGGAUGGGUUCGCGGCCUACUAGUCUGCUGGUUGGGGAAGUGGCUACCAAGGCGGGCACGGGUGGGCGGCCUGCGGGGGUGGACGGCCACAUUGGGGCUGGAGAUCCGCCCAGAACCCUACGGGGGGCAAGAGGUGGGAAUAAUGCACAAUUGGGGGAAGCCUGAUGCAGCGACGCCGCGGGGGGGAAGACGGCCUUCGGGUUGGAAACCCCUUUCGCUAGGGACGAAACUGUUUGUGACGGUACCUAGUUAAGAAGCACCGGCUAACUACGUG